GCUCAUCUCAGGGCAGUCGCCGCCACCCUGCGUGGCAGAAUCGGACGUUUUCACACAGCGAUAAACUCACCAUCAAAUAUUACACCUCUUGCAGAUCCUGCUGGAACUUCCGUGGGUCAGUGGUGAUUGACACGGGGCCAAUAUCUGCGAAGUUUAUGAAGGAGCAGACUCCAGUGUGACGGAUAAGAGCCGGUCACAGACGGUCGGAGGCCUUCUGGGGCUUUUAAGCGAAACACAGACGUCGCCGUGUCCAUCAACUCCCAGCUUUUCAUCACGGUUGCCCCGGAGCAGACCAU
Molecule: long non-coding RNA, 296 nt
Organism: Solea senegalensis (Senegalese sole)
Lineage: Eukaryota; Metazoa; Chordata; Actinopteri; Pleuronectiformes; Soleidae
Exons: 3
Source: RefSeq, a predicted model, not a curated record